GAUGAAGAACGUAGCGAAAUGCGAUAAGUAAUGUGAAUUGCAGAAUUCAGUAAAUCAUCGAAUCUUUGAACGCACAUUGCGCCCGCCAGUAUUCUGGCGGGCAUGCCUGUUCGAGCGUCAUUACAACCCUCAGGCCCCCGGGCCUGGCGUUGGGGAUCGGCGGAGCCCCCCGUGGGCACACGCCGUCCCCCAAAUACAGUGGCGGUCCCGCCGCAGCUUCCAUCGCGUAGUAGCUAACACCUCGCGACUGGAGAGCGGCGCGGCCACGCCGUAAAACACCCAACUCUUCUGAAGUUGACCUCGAAUCAGGUAGGAAUACCCGCUGAACUUAAGCAUAUCAAUAAGCGGAGGA
RNAcentral lists this unclassified non-coding RNA (352 nucleotides) under soil metagenome. RNAcentral describes it as "partial contains 5.8S ribosomal RNA, internal transcribed spacer 2, and large subunit ribosomal RNA". The stretch from base 1 to 120 matches the Rfam family "5.8S ribosomal RNA", at positions 35 to 154 of the family's 154-position model. The record is from RNAcentral.